Molecule: ribosomal RNA, 472 nt
Filed under: uncultured bacterium
Lineage: Bacteria
Description: partial 16S ribosomal RNA
Rfam family: Bacterial small subunit ribosomal RNA
Source: RNAcentral
GACGAACGCUGGCGGCGUGCCUAACACAUGCAAGUCGAACGCUGAAGCUUGGUGCUUGCACUGGGUGGAUGAGUGGCGAACGGGUGAGUAAUACGUGAGUAACCUGCCCUUGACUCUGGGAUAAGCCUGGGAAACUGGGUCUAAUACUGGAUACGACAUGCCACUGCAUGGUGGUGUGUGGAAAGGGUUUUACUGGUUUUGGAUGGGCUCACGGCCUAUCAGCUUGUUGGUGGGGUAAUGGCCUACCAAGGCGACGACGGGUAGCCGGCCUGAGAGGGUGACCGGCCACACUGGGACUGAGACACGGCCCAGACUCCUACGGGAGGCAGCAGUGGGGAAUAUUGCACAAUGGGCGGAAGCCUGAUGCAGCGACGCCGCGUGAGGGAUGACGGCCUUCGGGUUGUAAACCUCUUUCAGCACGGAAGAAGCGAGAGUGACGGUACGUGCAGAAGAAGCGCCGGCUAACUACGUG